ACGAUAGCUAAUACCGCAUAACAAUGGAUGACACAUGUCAUUUAUUUGAAAGGUGCAAAUGCACCACUAUCAGAUGGACCUGCGUUGUAUUAGCUAGUUGGUGGGGUAACGGCUCACCAAGGCGACGAUACAUAGCCGACCUGAGAGGGUGAUCGGCCACACUGGGACUGAGACACGGUCCAAACUCCUACGGGAGGCAGCAGUGAGGAAUAUUGGUCAAUGGACGAGAGUCUGAACCAGCCAAGUAGCGUGAAGGAUGAAGGUCCUACGGAUUGUAAACUUCUUUUAUAAGGGAAUAAAACCUCCCACGUGUGGGAGCUUGUAUGUACCUUAUGAAUAAGCAUCGGCUAACUCCGUGCCAGCAGCCGCGGUAAUACGGAGGAUGCGAGCGUUAUCCGGA
RNAcentral lists this ribosomal RNA (400 nucleotides) under uncultured Porphyromonas sp. RNAcentral describes it as "bacterial SSU rRNA". It matches the Rfam family "Bacterial small subunit ribosomal RNA", at positions 156 to 549 of the family's 1533-position model. The record is from RNAcentral. Lineage: Bacteria; Pseudomonadati; Bacteroidota; Bacteroidia; Bacteroidales; Porphyromonadaceae.